GAUCAUGGCUCAGGAUGAACGCUAGCGACAGGCUUAACACAUGCAAGUCGAGGGGCAGCACGGGAGUAGCAAUACUUGGUGGCGACCGGCGCACGGGUGAGUAACGCGUAUGCAACCUACCUAUCAGAGGGGAAUAACCCGGCGAAAGUCGGACUAAUACCGCAUAAAACAGGGGCACCGCAUGGUGAUAUUUGUUAAAGAAAUUCGCUGAUAGAUGGGCAUGCGUUCCAUUAGGUAGUUGGUGAGGUAACGGCUCACCAAGCCGACGAUGGAUAGGGGAACUGAGAGGUUGGUCCCCCACACUGGUACUGAGACACGGACCAGACUCCUACGGGAGGCAGCAGUGAGGAAUAUUGGUCAAUGGGCGGGAGCCUGAACCAGCCAAGUCGCGUGAAAGGAAGAAGGAUCUAUGGUUCGUAAACUUCUUUUGCAGGGGAAUAAAGUGCAGGACGUGUCCUGUUUUGUAUGUACCCUGAGAAUAAGGAUCGGCUAACUCCGUGCCAGCAGCCGC
RNAcentral lists this ribosomal RNA (511 nucleotides) under uncultured bacterium. RNAcentral's name for it is "bacterial SSU rRNA". It matches the Rfam family "Bacterial small subunit ribosomal RNA", at positions 15 to 518 of the family's 1533-position model. The record is from RNAcentral.